UUGGAGGGCAAGUCUGGUGCCAGCAGCCGCGGUAAUUCCAGCUCCAAUAGCGUAUAUUAAAGUUGCUGCAGUUAAAAAGCUCGUAGUUGAAUUUCGGGACCAUCAUGUCGGUCGUGCCUCGGUACGUACUGGCAUUGUUGGUUUCUCCCUUCUGACGAACCAUGAUGUCAUUUAUUUGGUGUUGUGGGAAAUCAGGACUGUUACUUUGAAAAAAUUAGAGUGUUUAAAGCAGGCUCACGCUUGAAUACAUUAGCACGGAAUAAAGAAAUAGGACGUUUGAUUCUAUUUUGUUGGUUUCUAGGAUCGACGUAAUGAUUAAUAGGGAUAGUUGGGGGCAUUAGUAUUCAAUUGUCAGAGGUGAAAUUCUUGGAUUUAUUGAAGACUAACUACUGCGAAAGCAUUUGCCAAGGAUGUUUUCAUUAAUCAAGAACGAAAGUUAGGGGAUCGAGGACGAUCAGAUACCGUCGUAGUCUUAACCAUAAACUAUGCCGACUAGGGAUCGGAUGAUGUUAAUUUUUUAAUGACUCAUUCGGCGCCUUACGGGAAACCAAAGUGUUUGGGUUC
Molecule: ribosomal RNA, 564 nt
Filed under: uncultured Glomeromycotina
Lineage: Eukaryota; Fungi; Glomeromycota
Description: SSU rRNA
Rfam family: Eukaryotic small subunit ribosomal RNA
Source: RNAcentral